GAUGAACGCUGGCGGCGUGCUUAACACAUGCAAGUCGAACGGAAAGGCCCAAGCUUGCUUGGGUACUCGAGUGGCGAACGGGUGAGUAACACGUGGGUGAUCUGCCCUGCACUUCGGGAUAAGCCUGGGAAACUGGGUCUAAUACCGGAUAGGACCACUUCUUGGAGGUUGUGGUGGAAAGUUUUUCGGUGUGGGAUGAGCUCGCGGCCUAUCAGCUUGUUGGUGGGGUAAUGGCCUACCAAGGCGUCGACGGGUAGCCGGCCUGAGAGGGUGUACGGCCACAUUGGGACUGAGAUACGGCCCAGACUCCUACGGGAGGCAGCAGUGGGGAAUAUUGCACAAUAGGCGCAAGCCUGAUGCAGCGACGCCGCGUGGGGGAUGACGGCCUUCGGGUUGUAAACUCCUUUCGCUAGGGACGAAGCUUAUUUUGUGACGGUACCUGGAGAAGAAGCACCGGCUAACUACGUG
Molecule: ribosomal RNA, 468 nt
Filed under: uncultured bacterium
Lineage: Bacteria
Description: partial 16S ribosomal RNA
Rfam family: Bacterial small subunit ribosomal RNA
Source: RNAcentral